AAGACAAACAGAACUGUGGCAUGUUACUGCUUGUCCUUGUACUGCCAAGCUCAAGGGCUACAAAAAUAGACACAUGGGAUACAGCUUUAAGAUCUGCGCUGCCCCAAUAAAUAGGCUUGGGCACGUCUUUCUCUGUAGGUUUAACUGACCCCAAGGAACAUGUGGCAAUUCUCUAUGCUGCUGAUAUAAGGAGACUUCUAAAGGGCAUUUUAUGAAGAUGCCAUCCCAGGUUUGUGUCUGCAUGUUACGCCAGUGAAAGCAACAAUCAAUAACUAGGUCUAUUCUAAAAAUUACUUGUCUGCAUCUUUUUUUUCCAGUCUGCCUCCUGCCUGCGAGUCUUUUGGAUCUGAUCCAAGCUGCACUGCAGUGAAGGAGCUCUCUUUGUUCACGUUCCCUCUGCUGCAUCUGAGCCCAUUGAGCAAGUGGUUUCUGGGGUGAGGAUUUUCAGCAGGAUAGCAAAGAAGCACCUUGAAAAAAAAAACCAACAGAAAGACAGAAAUAAGUCUUAACCCACUGUUAAUCAUUAUCAGUGUGUUUCAAUAGAACCUCUAUGAUAGUGAAUAAAAACCAAUACUGUCAAGGCCAGUCUGAACAGCCUGCAUCCAGAAGCCCAGAGGUGAUAACCCUGUAUUCUGUUUUCAGAUCCAGCCUAGAUCCCUUGAUGGGGAGGGGAAUGUGCAGAAUUUUUCCUCCUCAACAGGAAAACUAAAAUCCAAGCACUGGCAUUUUUCUCCCUUGCACAAACUAUGUAGUUUUAACUACUUCAGUUCUCUAAAGUGUGGUGUGAGCUAUACACAAUUUCUAGUUCCACGCUUACUAGAUGAAAAGCAUCCAUAGUUACUAGUUCUCUUUAACCCACAAACAUGUAGCUGCUUUCAGUGUUGCCUUUGCAACGAAAAUGCCCUUGCAGACAGAAUCUCAAUGUGGGCUGCAAGCCAGCUCUGCAGAGCUGAGUCAUUGUUAUACAAGCAGGGCUGGGCUGGCACAGAAAAACACCUUUGUACUUUAACAUUAAACCACGUCAGC
Molecule: long non-coding RNA, 1026 nt
Organism: Strigops habroptila (Kakapo)
Lineage: Eukaryota; Metazoa; Chordata; Aves; Psittaciformes; Psittacidae
Exons: 2
Source: RefSeq, a predicted model, not a curated record